Ictalurus punctatus (channel catfish) is the source of this 689-nucleotide long non-coding RNA. NCBI's taxonomy places the organism in Eukaryota, Metazoa, Chordata, Actinopteri, Siluriformes, Ictaluridae. The record is from Ensembl.
GCCUGAUUUAGGCCAUUUUCAUUUGAUCAGAAAAGAUGAUAUGUAUAUUUGUAACUAUUUGUAAUGAUCUCUUGAUCAUUAGUUUUGUCAGCUAAACUUAAAGAGAACAAAAGAACUGGUUCGGGCCUAGUCCGUAUGUGGAGGUAGCCGUAGAUGGCCAGUCGAAGAAAACGGAGAAGUGCACCAACACUCACAGCCCAAGUGGAAGCAGCCACUCACAGUAAUUGUUUCCCCCUUCAGCAAGUUAAUUUUCCGUGUCUGGAGUCAUCAGACUCUCAAAGCAGACAUUUUGUUGGGAAUGGCAACUUUAGAAGUCAGUGAGACCCUCAAAUCCAAUGACAUGAAGAGUAAGUCCUGUAUACAGACUCUGCCUCUGAGUGCAGAUACAGAUGGCAGUGACGUGGUGGGAGAUCUGUCUGUGUGUCUGGAUGGAAUGCAGGUGGAUCCUGAAACGUUUGCUUCUGAGGAACAGAAGCACAGUAAGACAUCUGUUUCCUAACAAAUCAUCAGCUCUGCUCAGGUUGACCCUUUACAAUGAUCUUUGCAGAAGAUUCAGCACAGAGCGAAAUGCUAUUAUACCUGUGGGGGGACAUGAAAUGCAACAGACAAAUCUUUACUGACAUGCAGAACAUGUACCACACUGUAAAGCAAAAUCAUCAUUGUAAGCAAUCAGCAAGGGAUUGCUUUUU